RNAcentral lists this ribosomal RNA (684 nucleotides) under Campylobacter coli. RNAcentral describes it as "partial 16S ribosomal RNA". It matches the Rfam family "Bacterial small subunit ribosomal RNA", at positions 848 to 1533 of the family's 1533-position model. Lineage: Bacteria; Pseudomonadati; Campylobacterota; Epsilonproteobacteria; Campylobacterales; Campylobacteraceae. RNAcentral also lists the same sequence under 1 other name. The record is from RNAcentral.
CAGCUAACGCAUUAAGUGUACCGCCUGGGGAGUACGGUCGCAAGAUUAAAACUCAAAGGAAUAGACGGGGACCCGCACAAGCGGUGGAGCAUGUGGUUUAAUUCGAAGAUACGCGAAGAACCUUACCUGGGCUUGAUAUCCUAAGAACCUUUUAGAGAUAAGAGGGUGCUAGCUUGCUAGAACUUAGAGACAGGUGCUGCACGGCUGUCGUCAGCUCGUGUCGUGAGAUGUUGGGUUAAGUCCCGCAACGAGCGCAACCCACGUAUUUAGUUGCUAACGGUUCGGCCGAGCACUCUAAAUAGACUGCCUUCGUAAGGAGGAGGAAGGUGUGGACGACGUCAAGUCAUCAUGGCCCUUAUGCCCAGGGCGACACACGUGCUACAAUGGCAUAUACAAUGAGACGCAAUACCGCGAGGUGGAGCAAAUCUAUAAAAUAUGUCCCAGUUCGGAUUGUUCUCUGCAACUCGAGAGCAUGAAGCCGGAAUCGCUAGUAAUCGUAGAUCAGCCAUGCUACGGUGAAUACGUUCCCGGGUCUUGUACUCACCGCCCGUCACACCAUGGGAGUUGAUUUCACUCGAAGCCGGAAUACUAAACUAGUUACCGUCCACAGUGGAAUCAGCGACUGGGGUGAAGUCGUAACAAGGUAACCGUAGGAGAACCUGCGGUUGGAUCACCUCCUUUCUA